RNAcentral lists this transfer-messenger RNA (271 nucleotides) under Pyrinomonadaceae bacterium. Its description in RNAcentral is "partial transfer-messenger RNA". It matches the Rfam family "transfer-messenger RNA", at positions 119 to 374 of the family's 374-position model. Rfam says of the family: Bacterial tmRNA, also known as 10Sa RNA or SsrA, is named for its dual tRNA and mRNA-like properties. Its role is to liberate the mRNA from a stalled ribosome. The record is from RNAcentral. Lineage: Bacteria; Pseudomonadati; Acidobacteriota; Blastocatellia; Blastocatellales; Pyrinomonadaceae.
CGCUGCCUAAUUAGCACCGAGCGUCUCACCGCAAGUUGCUCAUGCGCGCGGAUUGAGAUGUCACUUAGUUGAGCUGGCCCGCUCCUUCGGUCCGUGGGAGUGGGCGAGAACAAAGUCGGACUAGCUCCUGCUGAGGUCUGGUCACUUCACUGACUCGGCAAGCGAGCGAAUUUUUGUCCGGCUUGCCGGACAUGAAAGAGAAGUGACUAAGCAUGUAGAGUCCUUCGACGUUGGCUCUUGGAUCCGAGUUCAAUUCUCGGCGCCUCCACCA